Molecule: long non-coding RNA, 1448 nt
Filed under: Homo sapiens (human)
Lineage: Eukaryota; Metazoa; Chordata; Mammalia; Primates; Hominidae
Description: long independently transcribed non-coding RNA 2840, transcript variant 1 (LINC02840)
Source: RNAcentral
GGGUUCGCGCCAUUUUCCUGCCUCAGCCUCCCGAGUAGCUGGGACUAUAGGCACCCGCCACCACGCCCGGCUAAUUUUUUGUAUUCACAGUACAGACGGGGUUUCACCGUGUUAGCCAGGAUGGUUUCGAUCUCCUGACCUCGUGAUCCGCCCGCCUCUGCCUCCCAAAGUGCUGGGAUUACAGGCGUGAGCCACCGCGCCCGGUGGAAAGGACACUUUUUUACAGUAUGAGCACUGAAACAAAAAGGCAAAGCAAGGUCUGUUCACCUUCAGCUGAGAACGUGAGGAUUGGUUCAGGAGUACAUGCGCAGGUUUGUCAUAUAAGCAAAUUAUGUGGCACAGAAGUUUGGUGUAUGGAUUAUUUCAUCACCCAGGCCGUUUCUCAGCGUUGGAUGUGCAAGCAGUUUUGAGAGAUGAAGUCAUGACUUCAAGACAAAAAAACAGGUUUGCUUAUUUUGCUACAAACCAAUAAGUUCUUCAGCCAUGCUGCAAAUCCACUGUGUAUCCAGUUCCCAUCUGCGGCCCGCACAUCAUCCCCAUGGGACUUGAGAGCAAGAGGAUCCCACGCAAAUCAUGUUGCUUGCUAUGCUAUCCAGGGCUCCCUGGAGAACUGGCUAAUUCUCGGGCAUGGAAUGAAAAAAUACAAGAUGAACCUGGAGAAGCUUUCUGUGUCAGAAAGUAAGAACGUGCUCAAAGAAUGAUGGGACCAUGUGAAAAGGACAUAGGAGUCUGUUUGAAAGGCAUCCCACUGGCCAAAUAUAGGAUAACUCUGAGGAUAAAAAUGUCAGUAAAGAAUUAUAACCCACUGAAAUAAAAAAUGAUAAAUGGAUAAAUGAAGGCAUUAUUUAUAGGACAAUGACAGCUAAUACAUUUUAAAAGAAAAAUGAGAUACAAGAUCAACAUUUGGCAAACACCAUAAUAAUUAUUUCUGGCAAGAAACAUCCAUGAAAGCUAAAAACUAAUGGAUGCAAAUUGAUGAGAAAGAUAAUAUUUAUAUAACCUCAAAGCAUCUCCUUCAUAAAAUACUUAUUAGUGACAAAGUGAAGAUGGUGACUCUACAAUGGAGGAACCUAGCAGACAGCAUCUUAACCAAGGGAUCAAGAUGGAACAAUUGUGUACUAUAAUGUUCAUUCUCAUAUCAGGCGCUAAGUACACAACAUCACUUUUGUGCUACUCUGCACAAAACCCAUAACUGAAAUCUAACUCUGAGGAAACAUCAGAUAAAAACAAAAUGAACAAUAUUCUUUGCAAUAAGUGAUCUGUGCUCUUCAAAAUGUGAAGGUCAUAAAAGACAGUUCCAGGUCAAAAGAGACCAAAGGUGCACAAUAACUAAAUAAAAAAAGAACCUUAUAUUAGAUUUUGCAGAAGAAACUAUUUUUUGCCCUUUCUUUAAAGAAUAUUAAUGGGAAGUUGGUGAAAUUUGAAUAAAGUCUGUACAUGAGAUGAUA